Molecule: ribosomal RNA, 513 nt
Filed under: uncultured Pseudomonadota bacterium
Lineage: Bacteria; Pseudomonadati; Pseudomonadota
Description: bacterial SSU rRNA
Rfam family: Bacterial small subunit ribosomal RNA
Source: RNAcentral
AAUGCCGCGUGUGUGAAGAAGGCCUGCGGGUUGUAAAGCACUUUCGGUGGGGAAGAACGUACUUGUGGCUAAUAUCCACGAGUGGUGACGGUACCCAAAGAAGAAGCACCGGCUAACUCUGUGCCAGCAGCCGCGGUAAUACAGAGGGUGCGAGCGUUAAUCGGAAUUACUGGGCGUAAAGCGCACGUAGGUGGUUUGGUAAGUCGGAUGUGAAAUCCCCGGGCUUAACCUGGGAAUGGCAUUCGAUACUGUCGAACUAGAGUCUGGUAGAGGGUGGUGGAAUUCCAGGUGUAGCGGUGAAAUGCGUAGAUAUCUGGAGGAACAUCAGUGGCGAAGGCGGCCACCUGGACUGAGACUGACACUGAGGUGCGAAAGCGUGGGUAGCAAACAGGAUUAGAUACCCUGGUAGUCCACGCCGUAAACGAUGAGAACUAGACGUUGGGCGGGUUAAACCGUUCAGUGUCGCAGCUAACGCGAUAAGUUCUCCGCCUGGGGAGUACGGCCGCAAGGUUA